RNAcentral lists this unclassified non-coding RNA (311 nucleotides) under Athalia rosae (coleseed sawfly). RNAcentral's name for it is "misc RNA ENSAEAG00005004308.1". The record is from RNAcentral. Lineage: Eukaryota; Metazoa; Arthropoda; Insecta; Hymenoptera; Athaliidae.
CGAUAUGAAAGCGCGACAAGAAAUCGUGGCGUUUUUUCUUUGUCAUCGAAUAAAGCGCGCGGUAUAACUCGUGGAUACGGGGCCGCAGCUUGGGGCACCCCUGACGGGGACGAGGCGCUGCUUAAAUUCUUCAUCCGCUUCCCGCCCUUAUCGGGAGACGAGCAUCUACGUCAAUCCAUCGGGGUAAUAAUUCUUCGGGAGGAUUUUUCACUUUGUCAGCACGUAAACGUGGAAGCGACGAAACACGUUCGCGAGGAAAGAGAAUACGGAUGUAAAUCGAGGAGAAAUCGUGAUAAUAACGUGCAAUAAAA